Molecule: ribosomal RNA, 379 nt
Filed under: uncultured bacterium
Lineage: Bacteria
Description: partial 16S ribosomal RNA
Rfam family: Bacterial small subunit ribosomal RNA
Source: RNAcentral
AUACGUAGGGAGCGAGCGUUGUCCGGAAUUACUGGGUGUAAAGGGAGCGUAGGCGGGAGUGCAAGUCAGAUGUGAAAUACAUGGGCUCAACCCAUGGGCUGCAUUUGAAACUGCAUUUCUUGAGUGAAGUAGAGGUAAGCGGAAUUCCUGGUGUAGCGGUGAAAUGCGUAGAUAUCAGGAGGAACACCGGUGGCGAAGGCGGCUUACUGGGCUUUUACUGACGCUGAGGCUCGAAAGCGUGGGGAGCAAACAGGAUUAGAUACCCUGGUAGUCCACGCUGUAAACGAUGAUUACUAGGUGUGGGGGGACUGACCCCUUCCGUGCCGCAGUUAACACAAUAAGUAAUCCGCCUGGGGAGUACGGCCGCAAGGUUGAAACU